RNA transcript from Zophobas morio, 2763 nucleotides. RefSeq lists it as uncharacterized. The transcript is spliced from 10 exons. The record is from RefSeq and is a predicted model, not a curated record. Lineage: Eukaryota; Metazoa; Arthropoda; Insecta; Coleoptera; Tenebrionidae.
ACAUAAAUGAAUGUCAGAGGUUUGUCCAAAAGAAUAAUUAACCUCUUGUCUAUAAUAGUUUUACAUCGUUUGCUUCUAACACCCCCAAACUGUAUGUUGUUUCUUCCUAUUUUCAUUUAACCCUCGCAAACACUGAAUAUAACAACAGACCACAGGAAAAAAAUUGCUUAAAAUUAAAGCGGGCGUGCCAGUUGACCUUGAAACUUAAAAAAAAAUACCGACUUGAAUUUUCCUCUAACCACUCUGUUUCGUUAAUGUUAGUUUGUGUUUAUCUGAUUUAAAGCAUAUUACUAUCGAAAAAAUAAAUGCCUAAAAAGAUCAGCUCUCAAGCAUUAAAGUAUCUCUCCCCCGUACAAUUAUAUAAUAACGAAGUUUACGAAGAAGGCCAUCUUUCCCAUACCUAUUCUCCGUUUAACCUAAAGGAUCGUUUUGAAUCUAGGGACUCUAUAAAUCGGAAAGUUUGCAAUAUAGAUUACUAUACCGCUCGAGAACCUAGUGAAUACUACCAUCGCACUAGUACAAUAAGCCGACGAGAGCAAGAGAGAAUUGUAUAUCGGAGUUAUUCUAUAAAAAAGAGGAAGGUAGAUUCCAGUAAUUACUUUACAAGGUCACCGAGAAUUAUUAAUAAAAAAAGCACUACGUCGAGAGAAGCUUCUAAUUCCCGUUCUCUGUAUGAUUGUCCUUCAAGUUUUAAACCUGUGUACAAGGAAAAAAUAUCGUAUAAAAAUCGUUAUGGACAAAAGGCUAUUCAUGACGCUUUUAGCGGCACCAAUAGGAGGGAUAGGCGUACUGUUGAAGAUUUAGAUAGAGACUUUUAUAACUGUAAAUUUAAUAAGGUAUCUAAUCAACGCGUUACUCUUGAUUAUACUAGCAAAAAAAAUAAGGAUAAUUUAUAUAACAAUAAUACUAAAAUCUCAUUUUCCGAACGUCAGUCAGAAAAGGGAAGAUAUUACGAAAAGAAUUUAAAAGACGUUAGACCAAGAACCUAUGUUAGUUCGGAUUUAGGCCCUUCUCACUCAAGGAACUAUGAUAAUAGGAAGCAAAAAAGCUUUUCGUCAUUGAAAUCAAGGAGAAAUGAAAAAGAAAAGUCCAGAGAAACAGACUGUUGCUAUAAGACUGAACGCAGCAAGUUAGAUGCCACUCGUCCCACGAGACAGGCUUCUUCGCGAAUUAGUGGGUAUUCAAAAGCUAACAGCGUUAAUAAAAGAAAAGACACACUAAAUAUUAACAGCAAGAAGAAAAGUCCUGAGAGUGGGCGUACUGUUGCUGUAGAUAAUCGUUCUGCUUGUUUGCAGCCUUCUACUGUAUGUGAUGAUGGUAUAAUGGUUGUAAAGCGGUUUUAUAAUGAAAAUAACAAGGAUUCUGAAGAAAUUAAUCAACAAAAAACUUUUAUAGCUAAAAACGAAGUGACUCUUCAGGAAAAUGACUCUUCAUACAGCAUUUUACAGAAGCCCGUCAAUCUUUGGAGAUGUAGAACUAUCGAUCAAUUUAACAUACUUUCUAAAGUAGGAGAGGGAAGUUAUGGGCAGGUGUACAAAGCGGAAGACAAAGUCGCUGGUGUUAUUGUUGCCCUGAAAAGAAUACGGCAGGACCGUAGCCAACAAGGGUUUCCUAUAACAGCCCUUCGAGAAAUAAAAAUUCUUCGGGGGUUAUCCCAUCUGAAUAUCGUCUGCUUAAAGAGUAUUGCUACCGGCAGCAAACAUGAUGGCAGCUUAAAUAAACGCGAAGGCGUCGAUUUUUUUUUGGUAUUUGAAUACAUCGAAAACGACUUAAGCGGGUUGUUGCACAGUGAAGAAAUAAAAUUUAAUGUACCUCAAAUUCGGUCUUUUAUGAGGCAACUACUUCAAGGCUUGGAAUACUGCCAUUCCAAAAACAUAUUACACAGAGACAUUAAAGGAUCGAAUAUACUAUUGAGUUCCAAAGGAGUAUUAAAAAUAGCUGAUUUUGGACUGGCCCGAUACUGGAACCAGAAUUCUGACCACACUCACCAAGUAAUUACCUUGUGGUACCGGCCUCCAGAGCUCUUGUUGCAGUCAAACCAGUAUGGCCCUGGGAUAGAUAUAUGGAGUGCCGGGUUUUUUUCUUUAACCUUUAUAAGUAGCCGUUGAUUAUUAUAAGGUUUCGUACCGCUUAAAAAGUUUGCAACUCAGUUUUCGUCUUUAUAUUUUUCAUGAGUAAUUAUGGUUUUAGUUAUAUAGCUUGUUACUUGUGAAGCAGUACGUUUUAUCGUUCACUGUCAUCAUAAAAAAGAGUUACCGCCGUCUGGUUGUUGCAUAGCGAUAAGAGUUAACGUGUCUUUACCGGCUGGCGGGGUUCUAAAUCCAAUCAGUUGUGCAUCUCCUGGAGCCAUGCGGGGGGCGAAUGGAGUGACAAAUAAUUGGCUAUAAUAGUUCCCACAAAGAGACUCUUUGUGAUACUCUUGCUUUAUACCAAAAUCACGUGCCCUUUAGGGUCUGCGCUGGCUUAAUAGCUCCGCCGGACUUUUGGCAAUUUUUAUAAUAUUAAAAUUCAAUAAACAACUAAGCAUCCCGCAUACUUCGUCGCUUUUGCAGAAGAGUUAGGGAAUUCGCGGUGUUAGUUAAGGGCAACCGUAUAAACUUUUUUUACCUGCGUUGCAAAACAUUUUGGUCGCUGCUCGUUGUAGGAAAGGGAAAGUGCAAUAGGCAAUAUAAGUGUGUGCUUGGAGAAAUGCUAACUGCCAAACCGCUUUUCAAAGGAAGAAACGAACUUCACCAGCUUGAGUUGAUAAGCAGAGUCUGUGGG